RNAcentral lists this ribosomal RNA (389 nucleotides) under uncultured bacterium. RNAcentral describes it as "bacterial SSU rRNA". It matches the Rfam family "Bacterial small subunit ribosomal RNA", at positions 28 to 422 of the family's 1533-position model. The record is from RNAcentral.
AUUGAACGCUGGCGGAAUGCUUUACACAUGCAAGUCGAGCGGCAGCGCGGGGCAACCUGGCGGCGAGCGGCGAACGGGUGAGUAAUGCAUCGGAACAUGUCCAUGUCGUGGGGGAUAGCCCGGCGAAAGCCGGAUUAAUACCGCAUACGCCCGAGAGGGGAAAGUGGGGGACCGCAAGGCCUCACGCGAUUGGGUUGGCCGAUGUCCGAUUAGCUAGUUGGCGGGGAAAGGCCCACCAAGGCGAUGAUCGGUAGCUGGUCUGAGAGGAUGAUCAGCCACACUGGGACUGAGACACGGCCCAGACUCCUACGGAGGCAGCAGUGGGGAAUUUUGGACAAUGGGGGCAACCCUGAUCCAGCCAUUCCGCGUGAGUGAAGAAGGCCUGGUGU